RNAcentral lists this transfer RNA (68 nucleotides) under marine eukaryotic metagenome. It matches the Rfam family "tRNA", at positions 5 to 66 of the family's 71-position model. Rfam says of the family: Transfer RNA (tRNA) molecules are approximately 80 nucleotides in length. Their secondary structure includes four short double-helical elements and three loops (D, anti-codon, and T loops). The record is from RNAcentral.
CCGUAGCUCAAUUGGAUAGAGUGUCUGGCUUCGGACCAGAAGGUUGUAGGUUCGAGUCCUACCGGGUG